GAUGAACGCUGACAGAAUGCUUAACACAUGCAAGUCGAUGGGGAAGUGGUGCUUGCACCAUGGCAACCAUGGCGGACGGGUGAGUAACGCGUAAGGGACUUACCUGCAGGACUGGGAUAACAGGGGGAAACUCCUGACAAGACCGGAUAAUGUCAUGGAGCUGCAUGGCUUUAUGAUGAAAGGAGACGCCUGCGGAGAGCCUUGCGUCCUAUUAGCUAGUUGGCGAGGUAAUGGCUCACCAAGGCGAAGAUAGGUAGCCGGCCUGAGAGGGUGGACGGCCACAAGGGGACUGAGAUACGGCCCUGACUCCUACGGGAGGCAGCAGUGGGGAAUAUUGGACAAUGGGGGCAACCCUGAUGCAGCACUUCUGUGUGCACGAAGAAGGUUUUCGGAUUGUAAAGUGCUUUCAGCAGGGAAGAAGUAAGUGACGGUACCUGCAGAAGAAGCGACGGCUAAAUACGUG
This 463-nucleotide ribosomal RNA is filed under the name uncultured bacterium. RNAcentral describes it as "partial 16S ribosomal RNA". It matches the Rfam family "Bacterial small subunit ribosomal RNA", at positions 28 to 507 of the family's 1533-position model. The record is from RNAcentral.